Megalopta genalis is the source of this 1412-nucleotide non-coding RNA. The record is from RefSeq and is a predicted model, not a curated record. NCBI's taxonomy places the organism in Eukaryota, Metazoa, Arthropoda, Insecta, Hymenoptera, Halictidae.
UAGACAUUACAAUUCGAGAUGUCGUUAAUCUAACGCGGUUAGAAAUCAUAAUUAUAUAGAGCAUUCUCUUUCUUUCUCUCUCUCUCGCUCUCUCUUUCUCUCAUUAUUUUUUUUUUGUUUCUUUGUUAAACUUUAUCUCUGUUGCAUCUUCUCUCGUUACAGGUAUCAUUAACUUCUAUGCAUCGGUGUGGCGUGGACAUGAAUUCUACCCAAUGGAGAAUGAUCGAUCUUACCGUUUCUUCAACACCUUACGAGUUGUGCAUGGAGGUACCUCGAGGGGCACACACAGGCUAAAGGUUAUUUCCAUAUCUUUCUUACUGCAUUCUGCGCCAAUUUCCAUCAAAGGUAAAAUGCAAUCCAGUCAGAAUAUUAAACAUUGCACGGGUUCUUCGCUAUUGCACGACUGUUUUGUAUACAUGUGUCUGUGUAUAGAGUGUGUCUGUGUAAUUUUAUUGCACUGUUUAGUUUCCUUCUUAACCCGUUUGGCACUUGUGUCUUUGUCAUCCCAAAUCGACCAGAUUUUUAGCGUUGAUUUAAUUGUUGAUUCUCUGUUUUCAGUUGGAUCGAAGUUGUGCCAAGAUCAGCACUCGAGGAUUCAACUCGAUCGCGGGUUAAGAACGAUCAACCGUUGAUCUUUUCAUAACUCCUGAUAGCUUCUGAAGAGGACUUCUUAGAUUAGAAGCUCGCCGCAUACAGCCUCCUCCGCCCUGAUUCACCGAAGACACCUCCAAUCACAACGGCGAUGAUCGAUACGACCGGACGACCGGACGAGCUUCCCCCGUCUCUCGCCGUUGGAAAAGGGAACCUCGUCGUCCGACCGUACGAUAUCACGUCAAGGUACUGCUCCCGGUUAGCUGCUGCUGUAUUCUCUGUGUCGGUUGGCUGAUCCUAUGGAGGUUUAGAAGUCUAACGGUUGAUCAGCAGACCCUUCAAGAUCCUGAGUCACAUCUGUACCUCCGUCCUCGUCGUCAUCCAGAUCCACGCUGUUGGUCUUCAGACCUCCGCUGCUUAUCUUGUUCACUAUCAUAUCUGAAAUGUUAACGAUACAUUAAUAAUGGUUAAUACGUAUUAAUAAUUGCUAUUAAUUGGAUGAUAUGUAGGUGGCCAUAACCACCUGGGAAGCCUUCAGAACGACAUGAAUAACUAAUUAUAUUUUUCACCAAUAAGGUAGAUAAUUAAUAUUUAAUUUUUGAGGCAUAAUAUAUGCACUUUUAUCAUUAAAGAAUGUAGAUUGAAGUCUUAGCUACAAAUCUACUGUAGUUAUGUACAUAUUUGAGUUCUAAUUAGUUAGUUAUUAAUGAUUUUUCUAAGGCACAGUUUGUGUUGGUGGAAAUACUAUUAAUAUCAUAAGCUAAUACCAUCCAUUAUAAGAUCAAUCAGUAUACUUUUGCAAUGAAGAAACAUAGUAUGAA